Molecule: long non-coding RNA, 208 nt
Filed under: Elaeis guineensis (African oil palm)
Lineage: Eukaryota; Viridiplantae; Streptophyta; Magnoliopsida; Arecales; Arecaceae
Description: long non-coding RNA (EGUI_LNC037412)
Source: RNAcentral
GAGGGAGGAGGGGAGGUUUUAAUGGUAGAUCAACCAAGAGAAGAUUGGGAUUUAAAAGAAGAGGAUAGGAAAGGAAAUUAACUCAAUUAAUCAAUGGAUAACUUAGCUGCUCUCUGGCGUAAUCAAUCCAAACACCAUCGAUCAUCCCUCACUGGCAUACGACACCCAAUCCAACUGUUCUUGUAGCCUUAUCCUCAUCCAUGCCUUG